Oncorhynchus kisutch (coho salmon) is the source of this 402-nucleotide long non-coding RNA. RefSeq lists it as uncharacterized. The transcript is spliced from 3 exons. Lineage: Eukaryota; Metazoa; Chordata; Actinopteri; Salmoniformes; Salmonidae. The record is from RefSeq and is a predicted model, not a curated record.
AGGGAAUAGGGUGCCAUUUGGGACGCGGCCACGUACAGUAAGUGGAAGUUCACCCAAUUGGAGAAAUAAGAGCGCACCAACCGACCGAUAGCAGAGGAGCAGAAAAUUAGAUAAAGAUGGACAGAGAGAGUGAAGGAAGAGAAGGAGGGAGGAGGAGAAAAAGAGGGAGAUCAGGUUUUCAGAAGAAGGGUCUGAAGCCAUUCGUUUGUCCCAGAAGAACAAGUAUUUUGUUUUGGAGAGGACUGAGGUCCCGGUGAACCACACGGUGUGAGUGCAGGAAGUCCAACCCCUGCAGCAGCUGGUACAUCAUAUCCUGUUAGGACACAUGGACAUUCAGACACAGUCUUAACAGGACCUGAGCCCUAGGACCAUGCCUCAGGACGACCUGGCCUGAUGACUCCU